RNAcentral lists this ribosomal RNA (497 nucleotides) under uncultured bacterium. RNAcentral's name for it is "partial 16S ribosomal RNA". It matches the Rfam family "Bacterial small subunit ribosomal RNA", at positions 28 to 507 of the family's 1533-position model. The record is from RNAcentral.
GAUGAACGCUGGCGGCGUGCCUAAUACAUGCAAGUCGAGCGAACGGACGAGAAGCUUGCUUCUCUGAUGUUAGCGGCGGACGGGUGAGUAACACGUGGAUAACCUACCUAUAAGACUGGGAUAACUUCGGGAAACCGGAGCUAAUACCGGAUGAUAUUUUGAACCGCAUGGUUCAAAAGUGAAAGACGGUCUUGCUGUCACUUAUAGAUGGAUCCGCGCUGCAUUAGCUAGUUGGUAAGGUAACGGCUUACCAAGGCAACGAUGCAUAGCCGACCUGUGAGAGUGAUCGGCCACACUGGAACUGAGACACGGUCCAGACUCCUACGGGAGGCAGCAGUAGGGUAUCUUCCGCAAUGGGCGAAAGCCUGACGGAGCAACGCCACGUGAGUGAUGAAGGUCUUCGGAUCGUAAAACUCUGUUAUUAGGGAAGAACAUAUGUGUAAGUAACUGUGCACAUCUUGACGGUACCUAAUAAGAAAGCCACGGCUAACUACGUG